This 483-nucleotide ribosomal RNA is filed under the name Dociostaurus jagoi. RNAcentral describes it as "partial 16S ribosomal RNA". It matches the Rfam family "Archaeal large subunit ribosomal RNA", at positions 1944 to 2666 of the family's 2987-position model. Lineage: Eukaryota; Metazoa; Arthropoda; Insecta; Orthoptera; Acrididae. The record is from RNAcentral.
GUCUGGCCUGCUCACUGAUUAUUUUUAAGAGCCGCGGUAUUUUGACCGUGCAAAGGUAGCAUAAUCAUUAGUCUCUUAAUUAGAGGCUGGAAUGAAUGGCUUGACGAGAAAUCAACUGUCUCUUAAUAAAUUUUAGAAUUUAACUUUUGAGUCAAAAGGCUUAAAUUUUUCUUUAGGACGAGAAGACCCUAUAGAGCUUGACAUUUUAUUUAUAUAUAAUUUUAAGAUGGUCUUUUUAUAUUUAAUGAUAAUGUUUUGUUGGGGUGACAUGAAGAAUUAAUAAACUCUUCAUUAUUAAAUCAUUAAUUUAUGUUUAUUUUGAUCCAUAAUUUAUGAUCAUAAGAUUAAGUUACCUUAGGGAUAACAGCGUAAUUGUUUUUGAGAGCUCAUAUCGACAAAGCAGAUUGCGACCUCGAUGUUGGAUUAAGAAAAGUUUUGGGUGCAGUAGCCCAGUAAUUAGGUCUGUUCGACCUUUAAAUUCUU